GAGUUGUUGCCCCUCGCAUAAUAAUUGAAUCGGGUUUCUCCUGCCAACAACUAAAAAAAUUAAAGCAAGCCAUUGGAAAAAAUAGAACAGAAAAUCGUCUUUAGAGCAUCGUCCUUCAUCAUGACGCAGUACUUCGAGGAAGAACAAGCGCCACACAGAGGGGCCCUUUGAAGCUCGUAUCGGUCAAGGCCGAGGCUUGUUUUCGUUGCUUACCAUUUCCUGCAUGCUGUAAUGAUUAUAACGUACGUUUAUGCAACCUUAAAGAAUAAUCAAUGAACAAUCACGGAGCGCUCAUUGCAUUCAGUCGACACCCCUCCAAAGCUGCGCAGCGAACAAGAUGAAUGAUCAAUCAAAGUUGUUUUGAGCCCUUCGGGCGGACUGAGCAGUGGUAACAAUUACGGAAGAGGGGAGGACGUGUAUCUCUUGGCGUCCACAGUCUCAGCGUACAAUUUAUAUCUCUGUGCUAGGCGUUUGCUCUCGCUUUGAUUCUCGCCAUUUGUGGAGAUAUGUUUGGAAAAACGUAUGUGUGGCGAGGUGAUCCACGCGCUCGACAAAGUCCUAGUAUUUUUCCAGUAAGUUCUUCUGGUCAGUAGCAGAUGUCUGGCAAAUUCAUCUAUCGCUGAAGAGGCACAGAUGACAAGCGACAUGUCAGGCAGACAGUCGCCGGGGGGACUAGGACCAGCGCCGCCUUACCACACUUCGAGAUAAGCCUAAACGCUGGCUUUAUUCAUCCGUCCUAUUUAAUGAGAUUAUACGUAUCUUGUAUUUGACGAGGAAUUAUAGGCGUACAAAGAUGUUAUAAUAUUGUGAGUGGCUAUUGUAAUGCAGAUGUAUUUGUCAGCUAAGCGAAAACUGUUCGAGGAAGAUUGUGGCGAUAAAAAGAUCCACUGCUGACUUGGACACUUCUUGAACGUGAAGGAAGAUUAAAGUAUCGUUCCAUGAAUAAAUACAAUGAGCAUUGUCUAGAGAGACAAUACGCUUAACGCAACGUUCCUAUUUUAGAUUGACUCGCUUAGGACGUUAUUUAUGGCGUAGGCGUUCAUUUGGGCUGAAAUGAACGCAUUGUAGAACAGCGUAGUAUUUUAUGGAGAAUCUACGAAAGGAAAGACGUACUGCACACAAGCGAGCG
RNAcentral lists this long non-coding RNA (1129 nucleotides) under Varroa destructor (honeybee mite). RNAcentral's name for it is "uncharacterized LOC111248102, transcript variant X3". The record is from RNAcentral. Lineage: Eukaryota; Metazoa; Arthropoda; Arachnida; Mesostigmata; Varroidae.